UACGGAGGGUGCAAACGUUGCUCGGAAUCAUUGGGCGUAAAGCGCACGUAGGCGGCUCGUUAAGUCGGGUGUGAAAGCCCUGGGCUCAACCCAGGAAGUGCACUCGAAACUGGCGAGCUUGAAUAUGGAAGAGGGUCGCGGAAUUCCCGGUGUAGAGGUGAAAUUCGUAGAUAUCGGGAGGAACACCAGUGGCGAAGGCGGCGACCUGGGCCAAUUCUGACGCUGAGGAGCGAAAGCCAGGGGAGCAAACGGG
Molecule: ribosomal RNA, 253 nt
Filed under: uncultured bacterium
Lineage: Bacteria
Description: partial 16S ribosomal RNA
Rfam family: Bacterial small subunit ribosomal RNA
Source: RNAcentral